This 253-nucleotide ribosomal RNA is filed under the name uncultured bacterium. RNAcentral describes it as "partial 16S ribosomal RNA". It matches the Rfam family "Bacterial small subunit ribosomal RNA", at positions 524 to 776 of the family's 1533-position model. The record is from RNAcentral.
UACGUAGGGUGCGAGCGUUAAUCGGAAUUACUGGGCGUAAAGCGUGCGCAGGCGGCGCCGCGAGUCGAGUGUGAAAUCCCCGGGCUUAACCUGGGAACUGCAUUUGUGACUGCAUCGCUGGAGUGCGGCAGAGGGGGAUGGAAUUCCGCGUGUAGCAGUGAAAUGCGUAGAUAUGCGGAGGAACACCGAUGGCGAAGGCAAUCCCCUGGGCCUGCACUGACGCUCAUGCACGAAAGCGUGGGGAGCAAACAGG